GACGAACGCUGGCGGCGUGCUUAAAACAUGCAAGUCGAACGGACUUCUCAUGAAGCUUGCGAUUGAGAAGUUAGUGGCGGACGGGUGAGUAACGCGUGGGCAACCUGCCCCUGAGCCCGGGAUAACAGUUCGAAAGGACUGCUAAGACCGGAUAUACUUGCGGUGAAGCAUUUCACUGCAAGGAAAGGGAACGCUCAGGGAUGGGCCCGCGUCCCAUUAGCUAGUUGGUGAGGUAACGGCCCACCAAGGCGACGAUGGGUAGCCGGCCUGAGAGGGUGAACGGCCACACUGGGACUGAGACACGGCCCAGACUCCUACGGGAGGCAGCAGUGGGGAAUAUUGCACAAUGGGCGAAAGCCUGAUGCAGCGACGCCGCGUGAGGGAUGACGGCCUCGGUUGUAACGUACUUCUAGCAGGAAGAAGACGAAAGUAGACGGUACCGUGCAGAAGAAGACACCGGCUAACUACGUGCCAGCAGCCGCGGUAACGACGAGAGUA
RNAcentral lists this ribosomal RNA (498 nucleotides) under uncultured bacterium. RNAcentral's name for it is "bacterial SSU rRNA". It matches the Rfam family "Bacterial small subunit ribosomal RNA", at positions 28 to 534 of the family's 1533-position model. The record is from RNAcentral.